UUACUUACAAAGCUCUUAACUAUAGUACAACUUCAGGUGUGUGGCGUUCCAGGUGCGAGGAAUCGCCCCUCCUUCCAGCGUCUCUAAGCGGUAGGCUCCGUUCCCGAGCGCCUCGGUUAUUCUGAAUGGUCCAGUCCACUUGGGUGACAGUUUAUUCUCCAUCUCGUACUGGUGGGCCUUCCUCAUCACCAGAUCGCCCUCUCUAAACUGCCUUGGCAUCACCUUCGAG
This 229-nucleotide long non-coding RNA is filed under the name Phaseolus vulgaris (common bean). RNAcentral describes it as "long non-coding RNA (PVUL_LNC000671)". Lineage: Eukaryota; Viridiplantae; Streptophyta; Magnoliopsida; Fabales; Fabaceae. The record is from RNAcentral.